GGUUCCAUGGUGUAAAGCUUAGCACUCUGGACUUUGAUUCCAGCUCUCCGAGUUCACUUCUCGGUGGAACCU
Trichonephila clavata is the source of this 72-nucleotide non-coding RNA. Lineage: Eukaryota; Metazoa; Arthropoda; Arachnida; Araneae; Nephilidae. The record is from the annotation of a GenBank genome assembly.